RNAcentral lists this unclassified non-coding RNA (336 nucleotides) under soil metagenome. RNAcentral's name for it is "partial contains 5.8S ribosomal RNA, internal transcribed spacer 2, and large subunit ribosomal RNA". The stretch from base 1 to 120 matches the Rfam family "5.8S ribosomal RNA", at positions 35 to 154 of the family's 154-position model. The record is from RNAcentral.
GAUGAAGAACGCAGCGAAAUGCGAUAAGUAAUGUGAAUUGCAGAAUUCAGUGAAUCAUCGAAUCUUUGAACGCACAUUGCGCCCGCCAGCAUUCUGGCGGGCAUGCCUGUCCGAGCGUCAUUUCAACCAUCGAGCCCCGGGCUUGUGUUGGGGACCUGCGGCUGCCCGCAGGCCCCGAAAUCCAGUGGCGGGCUCGCUGGCACACCGAGCGUAGUAGCAUACACCUCGCUCAGGGCGUGCCGCGGGCUCCGGCCGUUAAACCACCUUUUAACCCAAGGUUGACCUCGGAUCAGGUAGGAAGACCCGCUGAACUUAAGCAUAUCAAUAAGCGGAGGA